Non-coding RNA from Paramuricea clavata, 604 nucleotides. Lineage: Eukaryota; Metazoa; Cnidaria; Anthozoa; Malacalcyonacea; Plexauridae. The record is from the annotation of a GenBank genome assembly.
AAUUGAAGCUAUUGAAAAACGCUAUUUGGUGUAGAAAUUUCAAGACUUUAGCUAAAAGGGAAAUAUUGAAAAACUACAAACAUAAUUACCGAUAAUUUGCCGUUUUGCAGUUGUUUUUGUAUUUUUUAAAUAUUUUUCUUUUCGCUGAAGUCUUGAAAUUUCCACACCGAAUAGCAAUUUUUAAUAGCUUCAAUUUGAUAUAUAGCCCGACGUUUGGGGUCAAGUAUUUCUGCUCAUAACUCAGAAAAACUAUUUUGGCUUCAUCAAAUCAUAGGCCUUCAUCAUAGCAGUUAGCCUUCCAGUUUAUUUAUAGUUCAAUGGUCAGACCCCUGGUCAGACCAAACUUCAAACUUUAUAAACUUGGAAAUAGUUACCUAGAAAUCUUUCAGUUUAUGUAUUUCUGCACGUCUGUUUAUUUCAAAACUUCAAAGAAGAAAACUCCUACUGAUAAACAGACAAUAUUUCUGAAGAAAUAUUUCCAAAUUUACUAAUAAACAAGCUGACAAAGCUGUUACGAAGUUUGCUCCGAAUUUUAGGUUAGCCUAGGGUUAAGGUAAGUGGCUUUGGACAACCGCCCCCAGGCCUACUUAGUAAGAUAUUCUCG